UGACUGGUGUGUCCAGGCUGCCUUAGGAAU
This 30-nucleotide non-coding RNA is filed under the name Homo sapiens (human). Lineage: Eukaryota; Metazoa; Chordata; Mammalia; Primates; Hominidae. The record is from RNAcentral.